AGUGAACGCUGGCGGUAGGCCUAACACAUGCAAGUCGAACGGCAGCACAGUAAGAGCUUGCUCUUACGGGUGGCGAGUGGCGGACGGGUGAGGAAUACAUCGGAAUCUACUUUUUCGUGGGGGAUAACGUAGGGAAACUUACGCUAAUACCGCAUAUGACCUACGGGUGAAAGCAGGGGAUCUUCGGACCUUGCGCGAUUGAAUGAGCCGAUGUCGGAUUAGCUAGUUGGCGGGGUAAAGGCCCACCAAGGCGACGAUCCGUAGCUGGUCUGAGAGGAUGGUCAGCCACACUGGAACUGAGACACGGUCCAGACUCCUACGGGAGGCAGCAGUGGGGAAUAUUGGACAAUGGGCGCAAGCCUGAUCCAGCCAUACCGCGUGGGUGAAGAAGGCCUUCGGGUUGUAAAGCCCUUUUGCUGGGAAAGAAAAGCAGCAGGUUAAUACCCCGCUGUUCUGACGGUACCCAAAGAAUAAGCACCGGCUAACUUCGUG
This 492-nucleotide ribosomal RNA is filed under the name uncultured bacterium. RNAcentral's name for it is "partial 16S ribosomal RNA". It matches the Rfam family "Bacterial small subunit ribosomal RNA", at positions 29 to 507 of the family's 1533-position model. The record is from RNAcentral.